CAGUCGCCGCGGUAAUACGAAGGGUGCAAGCGUUACUCGGAAUUACUGGGCGUAAAGCGUGUGUAGGUGGUUGUUUAAGUCUGUCGUGAAGGCCCUGGGCUCAACCUGGGAAUUGCGAUGGAUACUGGGCGACUAGAGUGCGGUAGAGGAUAGUGGAAUUUCCGGUGUAGCAGUGAAAUGCGUAGAGAUCGGAAGGAACAUCUGUGGCGAAGGCGACUAUCUGGGCCAACACUGACACUGAGACACGAAAGCGUGGGGAGCAAACAGGAUUAGAUACCCGCGUAGUCCCUGUCUCUUAUAA
This 301-nucleotide ribosomal RNA is filed under the name uncultured bacterium. RNAcentral describes it as "partial 16S ribosomal RNA". It matches the Rfam family "Bacterial small subunit ribosomal RNA", at positions 509 to 809 of the family's 1533-position model. The record is from RNAcentral.